RNAcentral lists this ribosomal RNA (515 nucleotides) under Pyxidicerina sp. JP-2014. Its description in RNAcentral is "partial 16S ribosomal RNA". The stretch from base 384 to 515 matches the Rfam family "Archaeal large subunit ribosomal RNA", at positions 2542 to 2674 of the family's 2987-position model. Lineage: Eukaryota; Metazoa; Arthropoda; Insecta; Coleoptera; Staphylinidae. The record is from RNAcentral.
GUCUUUAAGAUUAAAAUUUAAAGUUUAAUCUGCCCAAUGAAUUUUAAAUGGCCGCAGUAUAUUAACUGUGCAAAGGUAGCAUAAUAAUUAGUUUUUUAAUUGAAAGCUAGAAUGAAUGAUUUGACAAGGAAAAUACUUUUUUAUUAUUAAAUUUUAAAAUUUAAAUUUUAAAUAAAAAAGUUUAAAUUUAUUAAAAAGACGAGAAGACCCUAUAGAGUUUAAUUUUAAUUAUAAAAUAAAUAAUUUAGGAUUAUAUUAAAAUAUUUUUUAUAUAAAAAUUUUUUUGGGGUGAAUUAAAAAUUUAAUUAACUUUUUAAAUAUUUAAACAAUAAUUAUUGAUUAUUUGAUCAUAUGUUAAGAUUAAUAGAUUAAAUUACCUUAGGGAUAACAGCGUAAUUUUUUUGAAGAGUUCAAAUCGAUAAAAAAGAUUGCGACCUCGAUGUUGGAUUAAGAUAAAAAUUUAAUGUAGAAGUUAAAAUAUUAAGUCUGUUCGACUUUUAAAAUCUUACAUGAUC